CAUGCAAGUCGAACGGAAAGUGCUCAGCUUGCUGGGUGACUCGAGUGGCGAACGGGUGAGUAACACGUGGGUGAUCUGCCCUGCACUUUGGGAUAAGCCUGGGAAACUGGGUCUAAUACCGAAUAUGACCGCGCACUUCCUGGUGUGUGGUGGAAAGCUUUUGCGGUGUGGGAUGGGCCCGCAGCCUAUCAGCUUGUUGGUGGGGUAAUGGCCUACCAAGGCGACGACGGGUAGCCGGCCUGAGAGGGUGACCGGCCACACUGGGACUGAGAUACGGCCCAGACUCCUACGGGAGGCAGCAGUGGGGAAUAUUGCGCAAUGGGCGCAAGCCUGAUGCAGCGACGCCGCGUGAGGGAUGACGGCCUUCGGGUUGUAAACCUCUUUCAAUAGGGACGAAGCGCAAGUGACGGUACCUAUAGAAGAAGGACCGGCCAACUACGUGCCAGCAGCCGCGGUAAUACGUAGGGUCCGAGCGUUGUCCGGAAUUACUGGGCGUAAAGAGCUCGUAGGUGGUUUGUCGCGUUGUUCGUGAAAACUCACA
Molecule: ribosomal RNA, 541 nt
Filed under: uncultured Mycobacterium sp.
Lineage: Bacteria; Bacillati; Actinomycetota; Actinomycetes; Mycobacteriales; Mycobacteriaceae
Description: bacterial SSU rRNA
Rfam family: Bacterial small subunit ribosomal RNA
Source: RNAcentral